AGGCUCCUCUGGGCUUGCAGGAUUCACUUUCAUUUCACGCUAUCUGACUUCCGUGAUUAUCUGAUUUUUUCCAGGAAGGAAUUUUAAAUCUCCAGCCGGAGGAGCUGUCCCAUCCCACCAACCCGGAUGCACCUGGAGCCCCGCGGGAGACUUGGGAAAACUGUCCCUCCCCAGCGGUGAGCCUGACCCUAAAGGGCUCUGUAACCACAGCCUAACAGGCUGAGAACUGGACCAGGAACAAGCAGAGUGGCUUCCUUCUGCUGCAUGGGCUGGCCCAGGUCAAGCCUGACCCAAGAAGACUCAAGAGGAGACAGCUCUUGGAUGGGUCCUAUGCUGAACCAAGAGGGAGAGGUAGUUGGGGUGGAAGGCUCUAGAACUUUAGUGUCAGGGGUAUAGCCCUGUAGUGUGGGGGUAACCCCACAAGACCCCAGUAUACCUGAUAUUGUCUGGUUCCAAGAAGUCCAUGACUACUGACCGGCACCUCUGGAAACCUGUGACAGGCCUUUUCCUGGGUGGCUCUCCCAAGGGUCUUUCUAGGGACACUUUUCCUAUAUGAUCUGGAUUUGGUGCCACGAGGCCCUGACUUUCGGCCAGCUUUCAGGGAGGGAGCCUGGUCCCAUGGCUGCACUGUCCUCCUGUAAGGAACAUGGUAAAACAAUGCCUUUUAGACCUGUGCAAACAGCUCAGUCAGGAUCCCCACCACACCCAAGGUGGCUGACAACCUGAGAACCAGAACCCAGGAACAUCACUCACUCGGGAUAACCAGACACAGACCCCAUGAUGCCAACUGUGCUCUGCUCUGCACAUCUGGAGAGAUGACACCUUGAUCUGCCCUGUGGCUGGAAAGUCUCCCCCAGGAUCCUGACCCUUGAAUCAGAGACUUCUGUCAGAAACUUCUGACCUGAUCUUCAGCUAAGUUAUGACACACGGGUGAGCAGCCCUGAGGAGAUAGGCUUAGGACCAUACUUAGAAAUUCUAGUGUGGACCUUGUGUGAUGAUCAUCAGCAUAAUAAAACAUAACUUUUUUUGUA
Molecule: long non-coding RNA, 1031 nt
Organism: Grammomys surdaster
Lineage: Eukaryota; Metazoa; Chordata; Mammalia; Rodentia; Muridae
Exons: 2
Source: RefSeq, a predicted model, not a curated record